GUCGUCAGCUCGUGUCGUGAGAUGUUGGGUUAAGGUCCGUAACGAGCGCAACCCUUGUCCUUAGUUACCAGCACGUUAUGGUGGGCGACUCUAAGGAGGACUGCCGGUGACAAACCGGAGGAAGGUGGGGAUGACGUCAAGUCAUCAUGGCCCUUACGGCCUGGGCUACACACGUGCUACAAUGGUCGGUACAAAGGGUUGCCAAGCCGCGAGGUGGAGCUAAUCCCAUAAAACCGAUCGUAGUCCGGAUCGCAGUCUGCAACUCGACUGCGUGAAGUCGGAAUCGCUAGUAAUCGUGAAUCAGAAUGUCACGGUGAAUACGUUCCCGGGCCUU
RNAcentral lists this ribosomal RNA (334 nucleotides) under uncultured Pseudomonas sp. Its description in RNAcentral is "bacterial SSU rRNA". It matches the Rfam family "Bacterial small subunit ribosomal RNA", at positions 1051 to 1382 of the family's 1533-position model. The record is from RNAcentral. Lineage: Bacteria; Pseudomonadati; Pseudomonadota; Gammaproteobacteria; Pseudomonadales; Pseudomonadaceae.